UGUGUAGGCGGCUCUCUAAGUUUGGUGUGAAAUCUCCCGGCUCAACCGGGAGGGUGCGCCGAAAACUGGAGGGCUAGAGUGCGGGAUGGGAGAGUAGAAUUCCUGGUGUAGCGGUGAAAUGCGUAGAUAUCAGGAGGAAUACCGGUGGUGUAGACGGCUCUCUGGACCGCCACUGACGCUGAAACACGAAAGCGUGGGUAGCAAACAGGAUUAGAUACCCUGGUAGUCCACGCCCUAAACGAUGCAUAUUUGGUGUAGGUCAUUCAGUUGAUCUGUGCCGGAGCUAACGCGUUAAAUAUGCCGCCUGGGGAGUACAGUCGCAAGGCUGAA
Molecule: ribosomal RNA, 330 nt
Filed under: uncultured bacterium
Lineage: Bacteria
Description: bacterial SSU rRNA
Rfam family: Bacterial small subunit ribosomal RNA
Source: RNAcentral